CAACAAUGGCGCAUAUUUUAUGACCGUGAUUGCAAUCCAAAUUUGCAUUUGAGCUCAGCAGUCGAGUGUGGUGCCAAAAAUACCAGAAGCGAUGUCCUAUAUACGGCCUUGACCAGAAGUGUUGCAUGCCCUGGAUGCAGAAAAACAAGAUUGAGAUGAGUGGAUCAAGAUGUAUCUUUCGUGCAGAUGCAUCAAGAUCCUUUCACUUAAGAUCCAUGCAGGCGCAAGCUUUGGAUGAACUUCUGCUUCUGCGGUCGGCAUUCUUACAGGAGAACCCAAGAUUCAUUGUACCUACCUGUAUGCAUUUCAAAACUGAAUAAUUGAUAGCAACAAGUAAAUAUUUGAAGUUGCAGCCAAAUGCUGUGCCUUCUCUGCUGCAAGAGCUACAUGUCACCAUUGAAGCAAGGACCAGCUCGACUCCUGCAGUAGGAGUCCAGCCUCGUCCAGUCGUCGCCGCUCGCCAAG
Molecule: long non-coding RNA, 465 nt
Filed under: Amphibalanus amphitrite
Lineage: Eukaryota; Metazoa; Arthropoda; Thecostraca; Balanomorpha; Balanidae
Description: uncharacterized LOC122388353, transcript variant X1
Source: RNAcentral